RNAcentral lists this ribosomal RNA (318 nucleotides) under uncultured methanogenic archaeon. RNAcentral's name for it is "bacterial SSU rRNA". It matches the Rfam family "Archaeal small subunit ribosomal RNA", at positions 321 to 636 of the family's 1478-position model. Lineage: Archaea; Methanobacteriati; Methanobacteriota. The record is from RNAcentral.
CCCUACGGGGGUCAGCAGGCGCGAAAACUUUACAAUGCGGGAAACCGUGAUAAGGGGACACCGAGUGCCAGCAUCAUAGUGCAUGGCUGUCCGGAGUGUGUAAAAUACACCUGUAAGCAAGGGCCGGGCAAGACCGGUGCCAGCCGCCGCGGUAACACCGGCGGCCCGAGUGGUGAUCGUGAUUAUUGGGUCUAAAGGGUCCGUAGCCGGUUUGGUCAGUCCUCCGGGAAAUCUGACGGCUUAACCAUUAGGCUUUCGGAGGAUACUGCCAGGCUUGGAACCGGGAGAGGUAAAAGGUACUACAGGGGUAGGAGUGAA